Molecule: unclassified non-coding RNA, 386 nt
Filed under: uncultured Herpotrichiellaceae
Lineage: Eukaryota; Fungi; Ascomycota; Eurotiomycetes; Chaetothyriales; Herpotrichiellaceae
Description: sequence contains ITS2
Rfam family: 5.8S ribosomal RNA (bases 1-155)
Source: RNAcentral
AACUUUCGACAACGGAUCUCUUGGCUCUCGCAUCGAUGAAGAACGCAGCGAAAUGCGAUAAGUAAUGUGAAUUGCAGAAUUCCAGUGAGUCAUCGAAUCUUUGAACGCACAUUGCGCCCUUUGGCAUUCCGAAGGGCAUGCCUGUCCGAGCGUCAUUAUCACCCCUCAAGCCCCCGGCUUGGCGUUGGAGCCUCCGUGUUGGCACGGAUCUCUCAAAGAAAAUGACGGCGGCCUCGUGGGUUCCCGGUACACUGAGCUUCUUAACCGAGCACGUACUGAUGGAUCUCCGGGGCAGACGGUCUCCCUCCGCGAGGAGAAAUUCUAAGGUUGACCUCGGAUCAGGUAGGAAUACCCGCUGAACUUAAGCAUAUCAAUACGCGGAGGCU